AGAGGAGAAUAUUGAGUGGUCAG
Molecule: non-coding RNA, 23 nt
Filed under: Arabidopsis thaliana (thale cress)
Lineage: Eukaryota; Viridiplantae; Streptophyta; Magnoliopsida; Brassicales; Brassicaceae
Source: RNAcentral